AUCCUCUCUUGCCGCGCGCCGAGCGGUUUUCAACUCUCACUGCUAGAAUUCCUCCAACCACCCAGGAUAGCAGGACCGAGAUACAUGGCCACCCAUGACCCGGAGCGUCCACUUCCAGGGACAGGCAGUGGUGAUUGGCUUCGGUUGUCAUCUGUGCCAUCUGUCCAUGGUUCGAGAAGCUGCUGUUCACGUUUUGGGGAGGAUCAUGGUUUGAGGGCUCCCGUGGUAGAAUUUGGGGAGCUCUCAUAGGCAGAAGGCUGAGAAAAGUUGGUGCUGUGGGAAGUCAACUGGCAGCCGAUGGAGUCGGGACCCGGGAGGAAUGGAAAGGGAACCCAGAUAGGAAGCUACUGCAGUAGGCUCAGAGAGGUGAUGACGGCAGGGCUAAGACAGCGGCCUUGGGCGGUGACUGGGAAGAACGUUGAACACCGUGUUUGGGCUGAAGAAAAGAGCAAGGGAAGAGGUAAAAAUUAUACAGUGAAACACAUUCAUCUUGAGUACAAAUCAGUGGGUUAUGACAAAUGUCUGCAUCUGUGCCUAAGCAGUACCCUGAGGAGGACACUGAACGUUUCCAUCAUCCAAAAAGUUCCCCAUGCUGUUUGCCAUUCGCCCUCACCCUCCGGCCCCAGCAAGCCCUGUUGAGUCUCAUCGGAGUUCCUUCCUCCACCAAGGGAUAGAAACUCACCUGAUUGCUGCAUGCAGACACUGACACUCCCGACCCCUCAUUCGUCACAAUUGAUGCCUUACUCCUGCCUGAUUGCUGUCUUCCUGCUCAUAAUUAAAUUCCUUCCCCCCGCUAUAUAAUGCCUCCGGCUUUAGUCAGCUGGAGAGAGGGAUUUGAGACUGAUCUCCUGUUCUCUUGGGCUGAUGUCAACCAUAAUAUAAUAAAGUUUUCUUCCCC
This is a long non-coding RNA of Homo sapiens (human), 898 nucleotides long. Ensembl annotates it as long intergenic non-protein coding RNA 2175. The record is from Ensembl. Lineage: Eukaryota; Metazoa; Chordata; Mammalia; Primates; Hominidae.